CGACAGGGCUUCUGUAUGGGGAGCAGGAGUGGGAGCUGCACAGGAGCUUCAGCACGUGGGGGCUGCAGUCAGGCAUCAGAGUAGACAGGAGAAUCCAAAAUGUGGGGAUUUAACUCCAUGCUGGUGCUGUCUGACUUCAGGGCCGGUGAGUCACCCAGCAGAAAUGCAUACAGCCUUUCCACACUGACUCACACCGCUGCCCGCCGCUCCCCUCUGCCCCACGCCACUGGGCCAGGAGAAAACCCCACAUCCCCCCGGUAUAACCCACGCACCGGUGGCCGUGUGCUAACAGUGGCAUCGGUGGUGACGGUGGCAGGUGGGAAGUGCUGCCAAGCACUUUGAGCAGCCCCCGUGCCAAAACACAGGAAGUGCGCUGAGCAAUCACCCCGCGCAUUGUCAGCUCCAAAAACACCAAAGCAAAACAAAACAAAACAAAAUAAUUAAAAAAAAAAAAAAAGAAGAAGAAGAAGAAUAGGUCUAAGUAGAACAAUUGCCCAGGAGAAAAGAGAAAAAAAUAAAAAUAAAAAAUUAAGAAAAAAACCAGAGGCCAAGGGGCCUGGCCUGGCGCCAAGACCCUUGUUUUCGCUU
This 588-nucleotide long non-coding RNA is filed under the name Gallus gallus (chicken). Lineage: Eukaryota; Metazoa; Chordata; Aves; Galliformes; Phasianidae. The record is from RNAcentral.